RNAcentral lists this long non-coding RNA (685 nucleotides) under Manihot esculenta (cassava). RNAcentral's name for it is "long non-coding RNA (MESC_LNC003841)". The record is from RNAcentral. Lineage: Eukaryota; Viridiplantae; Streptophyta; Magnoliopsida; Malpighiales; Euphorbiaceae.
UUUUUCCUCCCUUUUUAAUCAGCAUAGUGUUUUGUUUUCAAUGAUAAGUUUUUUGUCUUUAUUUAAUUCUAAAUUAACAUAUUAGGGUUAUGUUAAUUAUAUCAGAUAUUAUUUGUUCUGGCUAUGGAGUGUUGAAAGACAAAAUCUUAGAGAAAAUGAAGGAAAAUGAGAGAACCAAAAAGAAAGUGAAAAAGAAAAUAAAAAAGAUGGUUUGAUUUAAAGCUACCUAUUGAUCCACCUGCUUUGAUUAAUAUUUGCAAGUAUUAUCAUUUGGUUUGAUUUGAUCUGGAAAAGUGAAUUUUAUAGCAAAUGAAGCCUGACCCAAAUAGAGCAAAAACAGAAUUGAAUUGGUUUGAAUCAAAUUCUGCUCACACCUAGGUUUAUUGGAAAUUCUCAUCUAAGCUAGGUAGUAGAUCAGACCAUUGAUAUCGCAAAAUUUUUAAUUUUAAUCAAAGCUUAUAGUGAAGUACAAUACCUUUGAUGCUAUGAUGCCAUGUAGAAUAAAACUGAAAUACCUUUGAUGCUAUGAUGCCAUGUAGAAUCCAUGAGAGAUUUUCAGCGCAAAAACUUCUCUUUGAUUCUGUGAUUUUUUUUUUUCACAUUAAUUUAUCUUCACUUUGGAUGUGCCAUACAUGACAAAGCAUGCUAGUGCCUGUUGAAUGUUGGCUUUCAUCUCUUUAGGUAC